Molecule: long non-coding RNA, 1204 nt
Filed under: Anthonomus grandis grandis
Lineage: Eukaryota; Metazoa; Arthropoda; Insecta; Coleoptera; Curculionidae
Description: uncharacterized LOC126735897
Source: RNAcentral
AUUUCCUUGGUUUUUGGUAACUGGUCACCAACUUAAAUAAAAUGUAUUGAUAAUUCUCUCUUUUUUUUUUAAUGAGAAGAAACACUGAACUGAUGACAAAGUCAAAAAAAAUAAGAAUGGUAAAGUCAACCUUCUAAAACAACUAAUCAAAAUUAACUGCUAAUGUUUAAUAUAAUCAAAAGCCAUUAGAAAAAAAAAAUUGGUAAAGCAUGAACUGACACGUUGGGCGCCAAAUUUAUUGCACUGUUUCUCACACAAUGCCUAAAUGUGGGUUCCAGGGUUAUGAUUAUUAGCCUUUAUUAGGGCACGCAAAGAAAACGCAGCUUUAUAUCGUUAAACCCAGCUUUAGUAUUGAAAGAUAAAUCAAUGUCAUAAUUGACAACUAAUUAAAUCUAUAACCUCAAUUCAAAAAAAAUAAAUACUAAGACAGUAAUGCUCUAAUACUUAAAUUAUAAUUAUGAAAUUUAAAAUUAUGAGAAAGAAAAUAAAGUAAAAUUUAGCACUUAAUACUUAUUCAAUUGUACAUCUGAUAAUACCUCGCAUAUACGUAUAUACUCAGUUCCCAAUUUCAAAUCAAAUCAGUGAUGGUGGUUAUAUAAACAAUUUUACUAAAUUGAAUUUAAAAUCUGUGAUUAUUUCUACAUAUUAAUUCAAAAAAAAAAAUAAUCUAUAAAUUGCGACGAACCGAUAAAUCAAUACCUGAAGAAACCAAGCCAAAAAAAGAAAAGGGGCUACCUGAAAUUCUGAGUCUCUCCGACUGGUAGCAGGGCCCACCUGACUGAAUGGGGCUCCUUUGUUGGCAGCUAUACGUUUGGGUCAAAAGAGGCAGCAGCAGAUCGACCAAUUAGGAUGCUUCUAGAAUGUCUAGCAGGUAGUGGAAGGCAAUCGGUAUUAGGUGUAGCCGAUUGAGAGGAAUGCAGGUUCCGGAGGUGAUGAUUCAAGCGACUUGAUGUGGUAACACGUGGAGUAGCAAGUGAGGUGGAAGCAGUAACAGUAAAAAUGUAGCAAAAGCAGAAGCAGAGGAUAAGCAGAAGGUACAGGAAGGCCUAAAAAUGGGGACCACACAUGAGGUUCGACAUGGCUGUCAAUUUUAUGGCAUUUUUGUGUGGAUCGGGUAUGUUAGGAGGGACCAUCUUAACGGUAUCAUAUCUGUGUAGUAUGUAUAUUUAUGUAUGAUUUUUAAAUAAAUUAUUUUAUGAAACUA